CGACGGCGACCGACCCGGAGGCGGUCCGCUGCCGGGCCGCGGCGGCCGGCCGCGCGGCCGGCCGGCGCAGGGUCACGACCUGGCCGUCGA
Molecule: transfer RNA, 90 nt
Filed under: Actinoplanes nipponensis
Lineage: Bacteria; Bacillati; Actinomycetota; Actinomycetes; Micromonosporales; Micromonosporaceae
Description: tRNA-Pro
Source: RNAcentral